GACGAACGCUGGCGGCGUGCUUAACACAUGCAAGUCGAACGGAAAGGCCCUGCUUUUGUUGGGUUCUCGAUUGGCGAAGGGGUGAGUAACACGUGAGUAACCUGCCCUUGACUUUGUGGUAUAUUUUGGGAACUCGGGCUAUUACCGGAUAGAAUCUCUUGCUGCAUGGUGUUGGUUGGAAAGUUUCGGCGGUUGUGGAUGGACUCGCUGCUUAUCAGCUUGUUGGUGGGGUAGUGGCUUACCAAGGCUUUGACGGGUAGCCGGCCUGGGAGGGUGACCGGCCACAUUGGGACUGAGAUACGGCCCAGACUCCUACGGGAGGCAGCAGUGGGGAAUAUUGCACAAUGGGCGGAAGCCUGAUGCAGCAGCGCCGCGUGCGUGAUGACGGCCUUCGGGUUGUAAACCGCUUUCGCCUGUGACGAAGCGUGAGUGACGGUAAUGGGUAAAGAAGCACCGGCUAACUACGUG
RNAcentral lists this ribosomal RNA (468 nucleotides) under uncultured bacterium. RNAcentral describes it as "partial 16S ribosomal RNA". It matches the Rfam family "Bacterial small subunit ribosomal RNA", at positions 28 to 507 of the family's 1533-position model. The record is from RNAcentral.